CAGCAGCCGCGGUAAUACCGGCGGCCCGAGUGGCGGUCACUCUUAUUGGGCUUAAAGCGUCCGUAGCCGGGUUGGGAAAUCCUCCGGGAAAUCUGGCCGCUUAACGGUCAGAAUGCCGGAGGAUACUCCCAGCCUAGGGAGCGGGAGAGGCCGAGGGUAUUCCCGGAGUAGGGGUGAAAUCCUAUAAUCCCGGGAGGACCACCUGUGGCGAAGGCGCUCGGCUGGAACGCGUCCGACGGUGAGGGACGAAGGCCAGGGGAGCAAACCGGAUUAGAUACCCGGGUAGUCCUGGCUGUAAACGAUGCGGACUUUGUGUCGGACAAGCUAUGAGCUUGUCCGGUGCCGGAGGGAAACCGUUAAGUCCGCCGCCUGGGGAGUACGGCCGCAAGGCUGAAACUUAAAGGGAUUGGCGGG
RNAcentral lists this ribosomal RNA (414 nucleotides) under uncultured microorganism. RNAcentral describes it as "bacterial SSU rRNA". It matches the Rfam family "Archaeal small subunit ribosomal RNA", at positions 459 to 872 of the family's 1478-position model. The record is from RNAcentral.